AGUGUUGCUUAGUGGCUGCAUGGGGAUGAACUGGAGACAGAAAGCAGAAGCUGUAGGGAACUUGCUUCUAUCCACGGCACGCUCUGGCUAUGAUCAAGAUGUAGAACUCUCAGCUCCUUCUCCAGCACCAUGUCUGCCUGUGCACUGCAAUAUUUCCCUCCAUGAUGAUAAUGGACUAUAACUCUGAAACUGUAAGCCAGCCCCACGUUGAAAUACCUUGUUUAAAAAAUACCCAAGAGACCACAGUCUUCAUAGCAUCAAUAUUCAUCAUAGCUAAAACAUGAAAAUAAUCUAGGGGGCUGGAGAGAUGACUCAGCAGUUAAGAGCACUGACUGCUCUUCCAGAGAUCCUGAGUUCAAUACCCAUCAACCACAUGGUGUCUCACAACCAUCUGUAAUGAGAUGUGAUGCCCUCUUCUGGUGUGUCUGAAGACAGCUACAGUGUACUCAUCAUAUAUAUAUAAAACAAAUAAAUAAAAUCUUUUUUAAAAAAGUAA
Molecule: long non-coding RNA, 496 nt
Filed under: Mus musculus (house mouse)
Lineage: Eukaryota; Metazoa; Chordata; Mammalia; Rodentia; Muridae
Description: predicted gene, 47708, transcript variant 2 (Gm47708)
Source: RNAcentral